GAUUUGGCUCCCUUCUAUCAAUAUUGAGCCAUAUUGCCUGUAACUCGUUCCAGUAGUCUUCAAGAGUAAGUUGCCCUUGGUUCACCUUGUUUGCUUUAACCUCCAGGUCGUAAAUUUGGAGCGGAUCGACGGCUCCACUUCCGUAAGUUACUGCUAAGCUGUCCCAAACGGCUUUAGCCGUCUGAUGUUGGGUGAAAUUCAUCACUAAUUUCCCCUCCAUGUUCUGUAUUAACCAAGAAAAAACGGACAGAUCCGUUUCUUCCCACUUGUAGUAAUCGGGAUCUGUGAUUUGGGUGGUGGUGGUUGUCCGGUAAUGUGUUGGNAACAAUCAAGGGGUGGCUUUUGUAAUAUCUACAGAACUUGGGGGGUUAGUUCUCAUAAAAUGGGGUCUUUUAUGAGAAUAAGGAAAAGAUGGAGGGUUUGGUGUGAAAAUACCAAACCCUAUACCUGAUUUUAGUUCUCCACAAUUUCCUCCAGCCGCCUCCCCCUCAAGCCCGCCACCCCCAUUCUGCCCAGCCGGAGAUGACUGGUCCACGGCCACCGCCGCUGCUCUCGCGACACCCGCCGUUGCUCCGGUCUGCUCCUGACCGUCUCCGAUGCUGCUCGCCACUUUGCCUUUUGCCAUUUUGUGGUUGUCUUCCCACCAUUCCGGGUAGCCAACGAGUUGGAAACGCAUUUCCUUGGUGUGUUUGUUCAUGCCACAAUGAGUGCAGUAGAGUUUUGAUUUAUCUUCUUUCUUGCGCGAUGAUGGAUUUCCUGAGCGCGUUUGAGAGCUUUUGCCGGCGGUGGUUUGUGGCGAAUGGAUUUCAGUCCGUUGAGCAGGGCAGUAGGUAGUGGCGAGCCCGGUCCCGAUCUCUCCCGAUGAUGAAGUGUCGGCGUCGGAGCGGUUGGUUGCCGGCUGCAAGAUUUGUAGCCUGGCGGCCUCCCUUUUUACUUUUGAGAACGCCAACUCUGCUGAGGGAGCAGGGGUCUCCUUGAGGAUAUCCCGCCGGACAUUGUCGUAUUUUGCGUUCAAUCCGGAGAGAAAUUGGUAUAGCCGCCGGUUUCCGAUCAAUUUCCGGUAUUUGGCUAUGCCCUCUUCGCAACAGCCAAGAGGAUUUGGCUCCCUUCUAUCAAUAUUGAGCCAUAUUGCCUGUAACUCGUUCCAGUAGUCUUCAAGAGUAAGUUGCCCUUGGUUCACCUUGUUUGCUUUAACCUCCAGGUCGUAAAUUUGGAGCGGAUCGGCGGCUCCACUUCCGUAAGUUACUGCUAAGCUGUCCCAAACGGCUUUAGCCGUCUGAUGUUGGGCGAAAUUCAUCACUAAUUUCCCCUCCAUGUUCUGUAUUAACCAAGAAAAAACGGAUAGAUCCGUUUCUUCCCACUUGUAGUAAUCGGGAUCUGUGAUUUUGGGUGGUGGUGGUUGUCCGGUAAUGUGUUGGGAUCUGCCUCUGCUGCCUAUGGCCACCUUCAUGAGGCGUGCCCAUAGCGGAUAAUUGUUGCCGUCUAACUUGAACCCGAGUAUGACGUUGUCGGAGUUUCGCAUUAGAUUGGCGAUUUGUUGGGUUAACUCACUGUUUGUAUUUGCAGAGUUGGUG
RNAcentral lists this long non-coding RNA (1574 nucleotides) under Salvia miltiorrhiza (redroot sage). RNAcentral's name for it is "long non-coding RNA (SMIL_LNC008098)". The record is from RNAcentral. Lineage: Eukaryota; Viridiplantae; Streptophyta; Magnoliopsida; Lamiales; Lamiaceae.